GCUGGGAUAGGUCAGUUGGUAGAGGAUGAGACUCUUAAUCUCAGGGUUGUGGGUUCAACCCUGAACCCACAAAUGUUUCCUGCA
Podarcis lilfordi (Lilford's wall lizard) is the source of this 84-nucleotide non-coding RNA. The record is from the annotation of a GenBank genome assembly. Lineage: Eukaryota; Metazoa; Chordata; Lepidosauria; Squamata; Lacertidae.